AGGACGACGCUGGCGGCACGCUUAACACAUGCAAGUCGAACGGUGAAGAGAAGCUUGCUUCUUGGAUCAGUGGCGGACGGGUGAGUAACACGUGAGCAACCUGCCUUUAAGAGGGGGAUAACGUCCGGAAACGGACGCUAAUACCGCAUAAUAUAUGGGAUUCGCAUGUUUUCCAUAUCAAAGAUUUAUCGCUUAAAGAUGGGCUCGCGUCUGAUUAGCUAGUUGGUGAGGUAACGGCUCACCAAGCCGACGAUCAGUAGCCGGACUGAGAGGUUGAACGGCCACAUUGGAACUGAGAAACGGUCCAGACUCCUACGGGAGGCAGCAGUGGGGAAUAUUGGGCAAUGGGCGAAAGCCUGACCCAGCGACGCCGCGUGAGGGAAGAAGGUCUUCGGAUUGUAAACCUCUGUUGACAGGGACGAAGCAUGACGGUACCUGUCGAGGAAGCCACGGCUAACUACGUG
RNAcentral lists this ribosomal RNA (464 nucleotides) under uncultured bacterium. RNAcentral's name for it is "bacterial SSU rRNA". It matches the Rfam family "Bacterial small subunit ribosomal RNA", at positions 33 to 507 of the family's 1533-position model. The record is from RNAcentral.